AUGGCGGCGGACACGACGGUGACCCGAUCGCCGGAGCAAUCCAAGAAAUCGGGCGGCAGCGACGACGCGGAAGAGGAGAAGGAGGAGACUCAGGAGAGGGAGGCCAAGAAGAUGAAGACCAAUCCAGCGUCAGUGGAAGCCGCCGCCAGGGACGACGAUGGGGACGAGGAGUUGGAGAUCUCGUCUCCGCUCUGCGAGCCCUACAUCCCCGACGAGCUGGACGACCCCUACCGCUACCGGGGGAUAUCCGCCGCCUACGAGAUCGCGAGAGCCGAAUUCUCUGAAAAAGAAGGUCGCCUGAAUAAACUGCCGACGCGCAAGUAUUUCCAUUCGCCGGUCCUCCACGUCCCUGACCCCGGAAGGAAGGCCGCGCUCUCCACCGCGAGAUCCCUCCUCCGUCUCUCCUCCUAUCUAGAUGGCGAGCCGCUGGGGCAUUCUGCCGGUCUUUGGAUCGACUGGGACGAGGAGAGCAGAACCGGCAUCCUUCUGACAACCGCGCAUCUGAUCCGCGCCAAAAAGCCUUACACGAAAGGCCGCCGGUGGCGCACAGGCCCGUACCACUAUCACCCUGGUGCUCAAGUUACGGUUCACUUGCUUGACGACACCACUGCGGAGGGCCAUCUGCUGUACCACCAGGAGCAUUAUGACCUUGCUUUCUUCAAGGUUGCAGUGGAUGAACGUGUUCAACCAGUCUCUUUUGCUGACACGGUCGGUGAUGGUCAAGAGGCUUUGCGGCUUGGAAGGGAACAAAAUUUGAAUCUAAAGAUAGUCCGUGGCACGGUGGAGUAUCAGAAUAAUCCAAUACUAGAUGAGGGACACCACUACAUGCACUUUUCUCGACAUGGAAAAUAUGAGUGUGAAGAUGGUGGAGACCCCAUCAUUGAUUUUGGUGGAAAGGUUGUGGGGAUGACCAACCGUUGUGAAAGCUGGUGCAUCCCUCGGCCCCUCCUUGGUUUGCAGUUUGAGGCCAUAAAGUUUCUAGAUCCUACACAUGCUGAAUAUAUAUGGCGCAAGUUAAACAUUGAUGAUGGUCUUGUUGUCGAGGAGGAGAAGGCAAAGAGAUAUGCCAUGUCCAAUUGUCCACAAGGAUGA
This 1092-nucleotide ribosomal RNA is filed under the name Triticum aestivum (bread wheat). Its description in RNAcentral is "partial small subunit ribosomal RNA". Lineage: Eukaryota; Viridiplantae; Streptophyta; Magnoliopsida; Poales; Poaceae. The record is from RNAcentral.